UACGUAGGGUGCAAGCGUUAAUCGGAAUUACUGGGCGUAAAGCGUGCGCAGGCGGUUUCGUAAGUCUGUCGUGAAAUCCCCGGGCUUAACCUGGGAAUGGCGAUGGAGACUGCGAGGCUAGAGUUUGGCAGAGGGGGGUAGAAUUCCACGUGUAGCAGUGAAAUGCGUAGAGAUGUGGAGGAACACCGAUGGCGAAGGCAGCCCCCUGGACCUGUACUGACGCUCAUGCACGAAAGCGUGGGGAGCAAACAGG
This 253-nucleotide ribosomal RNA is filed under the name uncultured bacterium. RNAcentral's name for it is "partial 16S ribosomal RNA". It matches the Rfam family "Bacterial small subunit ribosomal RNA", at positions 524 to 776 of the family's 1533-position model. The record is from RNAcentral.